RNAcentral lists this ribosomal RNA (351 nucleotides) under uncultured bacterium. RNAcentral describes it as "bacterial SSU rRNA". It matches the Rfam family "Bacterial small subunit ribosomal RNA", at positions 30 to 395 of the family's 1533-position model. The record is from RNAcentral.
AUUGAACGCUGGCGGUAUGCUUAAGACAUGCAAGUCGAACGGUAACAGACCUUCGGGUGCUGACGAGUGGCGGACGGGUGAGUAACACGUGGGAAUCUACCUUGUAGUGGGGGAUAAGCCAGGGAAACUUGGACUAAUACCGCAUACGCCCUAAGGGGAAAGGAGUAAUUCGCUAUAAGAUGAGCCCGCGUCUGAUUAGCUAGUUGGUGAGGUAAAGGCUCACCAAGGCGACGAUCAGUAGCUGGUCUGAGAGGAUGACCAGCCACAUUGGGACUGAGACACGGCCCAGACUCCUACGGGAGGCAGCAGUCGGGAAUAUUGGACAAUGGGGGCGAACCCUGAUCCAGCAAU